This 506-nucleotide ribosomal RNA is filed under the name uncultured bacterium. RNAcentral's name for it is "bacterial SSU rRNA". It matches the Rfam family "Bacterial small subunit ribosomal RNA", at positions 337 to 839 of the family's 1533-position model. The record is from RNAcentral.
UCCUACGGGAGGCAGCAGUAGGGAAUAUUGCGCAAUGGGGGAAACCCUGAUGCAGCAAUGCCACGUGAGUGAGGAAGGUUUUCGGAUUGUAAAGCUCUGUCCUAUGGGAAGAACUGCUUUGGGUAACGCCAGUGUUUGACGGUACUAUAGAAGAAAGCACCGGCUAACUCCGUGCCAGCAGCCGCGGUAAUACGGAGGGUGCAAGCGUUGUUCGGAUUUACUGGGCGUAAAGCGCGCGCAGGCGGAUUAGCAAGUCAGAUGUGAAAUCUCGGGGCUCAACCCCGAAACUGCGUCUGAAACUGUUAGUCUAGAAUCUCAGAGGGGGCAGGGGAAUUUCACGUGUAGGGGUAAAAUCCGUAGAGAUGUGAAGGAACACCGGUGGCGAAGGCGCCUGCCUGGAUGAGUAUUGACGCUGAGGCGCGAAAGCGUGGGGAGCAAACAGGAUUAGAUACCCUGGUAGUCCACGCCGUAAACGAUGAGUACUAGCCUUUGGAGGUAUUGACCCC